AUGGAAAAUUGUCAAUAAUAUUUUCAGUUAGAAGCAAUUACCUGUGACAUACGUUUGUUACAAAAUAUGUUUGUAUGCUCCCUGCCACCGACUGCACUUUUCUUUUCAGGCUGUAUGGUCAGGCCACUCAAGGUGGCUGUGGUUGUGCUCCCUGUACAUCCCCUGCUUGACCAGUGCCUGCCUCACUCACAUGACUAUCCAAUCCUCCUAAUUAUGGGGCUUAAUCAGUGGCUUCCUAGGUGCUUGCCCCCUGCCUCAGCUGCUGGUUUCCCUGGUAACUGAUGAGCCAACCGGACGUCAGUUCCUCCUAUAAAUGGUAGCUUCGUUCUCCCUCGAGUCGGGAACAUUGCAGCAGUGCCUUGCCUGUGGGGUGCCGUGCACAGUGGGAUGUCACUCCAGGACCUUUUGUUUCAGACAGGAAGUGGACCAAGAUGGGUUUGUCAACCAGACGUGAAGUCGUGGGACGACACUGUGUGAGAGACAGCCUAUUAACUUGCAGUUCCAGGCCCAGCGAUCUGUAACUAACUGCAGAGGCCACCACAUGUGCAGGGUUUAAGUGUCACCUCCUAAGUUCCAUGUGUCCUUCAAAAUCUGUGAUGGUUAUGUGGGUGUAUCUGACUGUCAAAAUGGAACCAAUGGAACACUAAAGCAACGGGCAUUUUAUUACAUACAAUGUACACUAUCAUUGACAAAAAUCUAAAUGGACUGUCUUCAGAAAUUUGGAGUUCCAUACCAGUGGAAGUCUUCAAGCAAAGACCAAGAGACAGAAUCACUAAACAAAUGGACUAGAUGCCUGGCUUUUGAGUUUCAGAAUGCACUGGAAUCAGAGCUCGUAAAUGUACAAAAUCAAAGUAGCCCAACUCCCAGAGACUCAUUUAAUAAGAAUAAGACGGGACUCAG
This is a non-coding RNA of Vicugna pacos (alpaca), 900 nucleotides long. The record is from RefSeq and is a predicted model, not a curated record. Lineage: Eukaryota; Metazoa; Chordata; Mammalia; Artiodactyla; Camelidae.